GGUCAUAUCGACGCGUUGACUAGAUAACUAAGGGCAAUGCAGAUAUAUAAAAGUGCUGUAUUGCCUGGUGUUAUGUAACUGUACCUGUGACAUCAUCAUUGCACCCUCCGACAUGAUAUCUCUUCCAAAUGCUUGAUGAAAAAGGUGGGAGGAUCACUUGAGCCAGGGAGUUGAAGGCUGGAGUGAGCCCUGUUUUGCCACCACACUCCAGCUUGG
RNAcentral lists this small RNA (216 nucleotides) under Pongo abelii (Sumatran orangutan). RNAcentral's name for it is "processed transcript". Lineage: Eukaryota; Metazoa; Chordata; Mammalia; Primates; Hominidae. The record is from RNAcentral.